UUUGGCUGAUCAUUUGAAAUGUAUUGGUGUUGUCUAGCUGACAGUCGCCGCGUAAGCAUUGUUAAUCAUCUUUAUUGAUGUUCCUUGCUACUACACGGGCCACGACAAUAAGCAUUAUUAGACAAUCCAAGCGCAAACUCCAAAUACUUGUAUUUAACCAUCUUGAUCUCAGAUCAGGCAGGAUGACCCGCUGAACUUAA
RNAcentral lists this unclassified non-coding RNA (200 nucleotides) under soil metagenome. RNAcentral describes it as "partial contains internal transcribed spacer 2 and large subunit ribosomal RNA". The record is from RNAcentral.